UACGUAGGGAGCAAGCGUUGUUCGGAAUCACUGGGCGUAAAGGGCGCGUAGGCGGCUAUUCAAGUCGGGGGUGAAAGCCUGUGGCUCAACCACAGAAUUGCCUUCGAUACUGUUUGGCUUGAGACCGGAAGAGGUAAGUGGAACUGCGAGUGUAGAGGUGAAAUUCGUAGAUAUUCGCAAGAACACCAGUGGCGAAGGCGGCUUACUGGUCCGGUUCUGACGCUGAGGCGCGAAAGCGUGGGGAGCAAACAGG
Molecule: ribosomal RNA, 253 nt
Filed under: uncultured bacterium
Lineage: Bacteria
Description: partial 16S ribosomal RNA
Rfam family: Bacterial small subunit ribosomal RNA
Source: RNAcentral